This 71-nucleotide transfer RNA is filed under the name Phytophthora infestans (potato late blight agent). Its description in RNAcentral is "tRNA-Val". Lineage: Eukaryota; Oomycota; Peronosporomycetes; Peronosporales; Peronosporaceae. The record is from RNAcentral. RNAcentral also lists the same sequence under 1 other name.
GACAACAGCUCAGCGGUUGAACAGUCGCUUAACAAGCGAUAGGUCGGUGGCUCGAUCCCACCGAGGCGUCA